UCAAGUUUUCCUGUCUAAAUACUUGUUUUUAUGAAAGAGGUAAGUUGAAUGCACACAGACGAAAGGUUUGACGGCCAUCUCUCUCACCAAUCAUAAAACAGGUAAGUUGAAUGCACACAGACGAAAGGUUUGACGGACAUCUCUCUCACCAAUCAUGAAACAGGUAAGUUGAAUGCACACAGACGAAAGGUUUGACGGACAUCUCUCUCACCAAUCAUGAAACAGGUAAGUUGAAUGCACACAGACGAAAGGUUUGACGGACAUCUCUCUUGUAAUGAAGUUGAUUAAAUAAUUUUAUUAUGUAAUUACAAAGUCAAGAAAGAUUCUAAAGUUCAAAUGUUCGAAUGUUCAUAAAGUGUCUCUAAAGUUCAAUUGUUUGAAAGUUCAGUAAAUCGUCACACGGACACGUGAUCGUAUAGUGGUAUAACUGUUCGGUCCUGACUGAGUAAUUCGGAUGGUUAGUGAAUUAAUUCCAGCCUACCCACAAGGGGGAGACCUUGGCGGAAUCUCCUGUCGGAAUCCAUCUGUACGAAUCUAUCCCCGUUCGAGUCCAAAGCUGGAUCUUAUAUAGUUCAGUGGGCCAUUAAUCAUCUUUAAACUAUGGCCCAUAGCUGUUGGCAGGUUGCGUAGUAGUCUGGAUGUUGAAUUAUACUAGUCUGAGGUUAAUUGUCAAACAAUGCAAUUAACCUCUGCAUUAUACAUGUUAUUUAACAGUGGACAUUGUCAUUUACUGGCUGCAGGGUAUAUGUCUAUAAUAUUCGUACACAUUGUUAUUAAGUGUCUAAAGGGUAAAUGUAUUUGUUUCAGUUAUGCUAUAUUUGAUUACACCUUGAUAAUUAUUGUUAUAAAACACAUUGUGUUACAAAUGCCUUUCAUCCAAAUAGAACGAAAGUUCGGUAAAAUACGAUAGUUUUUCUUCCUGUAGGUUAUUAUAAAUUCUGUAGUUCCUUGUUAAGUCUUCUGUAACCAUCACCACAUAUAUAGUUCAUAAAAUUCGGCAAAUCCAACAUCUGGAUACAUAGAGUUCACAUGAUUCAUAAAGUUCAAGAUUUGGGUAUAUAUUGUGCAUACUUUUCCCCGUCACCAUUAUAGCAUAUUGUUCAUCAACUGCUGGAAAGGGCACACAUCUUUGUACACGUGUCAGUCAUCAUCAUUUCCAUUACGAAGUAGUUGACGCAUCUAGCUGGUUGGUUCAUCCUUCUUAAGAGGCUGUUAACAUCGGCCUUCGGUUAAGUUUUGUCCUUGAUCAAUGGCGCAGAGGAAGACAUCUCUCUGGAAUCAGUAACAUCUGUCCCAACCAAUCACGUAGACACCAUUUUGUACCCAUUGUUCGUGGCAUUAGAACCAAAACUCACACCUUCUUUUUGGCCAACCAAGAUAUAUUCUGAACAAAUUAACAGUACAAAAAUAUGGCUAUUCCAAUGAAGAUCGCACCUAAACCCCACUGAUAAACUUAUCUCAAUUUGGAAAAACUUAAACUUGUUAACUUCUUUUUUAUUUAUCAAUCGUUUGUUCAAUCGCCUUUAGUUCACUGGGUUAUUCAAGCCUAGCAAAAUUUAAUAAAACAAUUUCUCGGUAAAAUCAAUACGUUCUUUUAAAUAUCGAAUUAUCUGAUUAAAAAAAAAACAAAAGAGGGGAAAAAAAAACUGUCGUAUACAACUUCUACAAUUUUGAGAAUCCUACAUGAUAAAAACAAAGAUACGUUUAUUUACAUAAGACAUGAGAAACAUAUUUACAAAUCUACAAUCAAAUAAGUUUAAUUCGAUCAUUCUAUAUAACCCCUACACCUACAUGAUACCUAUAAAAAAAAUUUACUAAAAAUUAUAUGUGUUACUUUGUAACCAAUUGUAAUACUUUUACGUCUUUAACUUUAGUUUCUCAUUAAUUAAUCUUAAUGCUAAAUGUAGUCCACAAAUUUAUUCAGGCUCAUCACUCUUAAAAAUAUUUAAGAUUACAUUGAUAAAAUUUUAACUACGCCUUGUGCAAUUUGUUACUGACUCUAUAUUUCCUAUUUGACAACAACACCUUGUUGCGAAAAAAAAUGUCUUUCUCCGUAAUCGUUUACAUUUCCAAAAAAUGUAUAUAGUUUCCUCAUCAUAGUCUUUCCUUUCUUUUUUUUAUAUAUAUAUUUUUAAUUUGCUUUAAAACAUCAGCAACCUACUGCCUAUCCUUUUUAUACAUUUCAUUAUGAUUGAAUGUUUUUAUUCAUUCUAUUUUUUUUUUAAACUUGACUUACUUCUUAAAAACCAAAACAAUUUAAAGUUUGUUCUAUGCUUAUUUAUGAACAAAGCCCAUUGUUUAGACUCAUUUUUUGUUUUACUACUAAAUUAAUUAUUUUCUUAUUCUUAUUUUAAUUUCUGAUAAUUAUCCUCAUAAUUGUAAAAAGAAAUCAAUUUUAUUUUAAUGCUAGUUUUCCUUUAAUAUCAAUUAUCUAUUUCACUUAGAUUUUGUCAUUAGUCAUGAAGUUCAUAUGUCUCUCAUUUUUUUACAAAUAUCGAUCUACCACAAAAAUAUUGUAAAUCCCUUAGGGCAAAACAUAUCAACAUUUAUCUUUAAUGUGCUAUUUUCUGAAGAUACUUCUCUUUAUCUAUUAACAUUUAUGUUAUGUAAAUAAGGCGUAAUCUAACACCAUAAAACAACUUGCACCAUUUAAUUACUUAACAUCACUUAUUUUAAUCUUCCGAAGAAGGGGUUGGAAUCUAAAAUUAUAGACUAUUUGUUUUCUCUAAACAAAUGUGCGUAAACACUACCCAACUGCGUAAACCAUAAUCGUCAAUGGCUAUAACAUCGCAAACAUAUGAACCACAAUGUACCCUUAACUUCAAUUACCAAAGGUUCUAAUUCAACCUUCAUAUAUACCGGUGCUCUACUAAUUUUACGUAAAACAUAUGUUUUCUAGAAUAAUUGAGUGUAUCUUCCAAAAAAAAAAAAAAAAAACCCAUAAUAUGACCAAAAACCACCAUUGAAUACGGGGGAAAAUGCUUUAGUAUCAGACAUUUUAUAUUUUUUUUUUCCAUACAU
This is a long non-coding RNA of Mytilus californianus (California mussel), 3021 nucleotides long. RefSeq lists it as uncharacterized. The transcript has 3 exons. The record is from RefSeq and is a predicted model, not a curated record. NCBI's taxonomy places the organism in Eukaryota, Metazoa, Mollusca, Bivalvia, Mytilida, Mytilidae.